UUAUAGUGUUCUUCUUAGGUUUUUGAACUUUGGGUUCUUUUUUUUUAGGGUUUUUUUUUAUUGGGAGUUUUGGUUAACACGUGUAUGGUAAGGGUUUUAGGAUUUUGGGGGGAUAGGUACGGAUUCUCGCUAGGUGCAACAAAAGGGUUGGCCUGAGAUUGGACUUCAAAGUUCAAAUUGUCAUAUGAUCCGAAGACAAUGGUGUGUGUGUGACC
This 215-nucleotide long non-coding RNA is filed under the name Gossypium raimondii (Peruvian cotton). RNAcentral describes it as "long non-coding RNA (GRAI_LNC001754)". The record is from RNAcentral. Lineage: Eukaryota; Viridiplantae; Streptophyta; Magnoliopsida; Malvales; Malvaceae.